Molecule: ribosomal RNA, 468 nt
Filed under: uncultured bacterium
Lineage: Bacteria
Description: partial 16S ribosomal RNA
Rfam family: Bacterial small subunit ribosomal RNA
Source: RNAcentral
GACGAACGCUGGCGGCGUGCUUAACACAUGCAAGUCGAACGGUGAUGCUCCAGCUUGCUGGAGUGGAUCAGUGGCGAACGGGUGAGUAACACGUGAGCAACCUGCCCCAGACUCUGGAAUAAGCGCUGGAAACGGCGUCUAAUACUGGAUACGAAACUGGCCCGCAUGGGCAUGGUUUGGAAAGUUUUUCGGUUUGGGAUGGGCUCGCGGCCUAUCAGCUUGUUGGUGAGGUAAUGGCUCACCAAGGCGACGACGGGUAGCCGGCCUGAGAGGGCGACCGGCCACACUGGGACUGAGACACGGCCCAGACUCCUACGGGAGGCAGCAGUGGGGAAUAUUGCACAAUGGGCGAAAGCCUGAUGCAGCGACGCCGCGUGAGGGAUGACGGCCUUCGGGUUGUAAACCUCUUUCAGCAGGGAAGAAGCGAAAGUGGCGGUACCUGCAGAAGAAGCACCGGCUAACUACGUG